GCCGGAGAUCACUGUUAUCAGGUUUCGACUUNNCCAUGCGAGGCGAGAGGGUUAGACCCUCGCCGAACUGCUCAGUAACACGUAGCUAACUUAAUCUUAGGUGGGGGAUAAACUUGCGAAAGUGAGGCUAAUACCCCAUAGUUGUUAGAUGCUGGAAUGCGCUAACAAUCANAGCUCCGGCGCCUAAGAAUAGGGCUGCGGCGUAUCAGGCGGUUGUGAGUUUAAAAUACUCACAAACCUAUAACGCGUAGGGGCCAUGAGAGUGGGAGCCCCGAGAUGCCUUCUGAGACAUGAAGGCAGGUCCUACGGGACGCAGCAGGCGCGAAAACUUUCCAAUUCAUUAACGUGUGAGAAGGGAAGCCUGAGUGCUUAUGCAAUGCNUAAGCUUUUCUUUAGCCUANNAAGCUAGAGGAAUAAGUGGUGGGUAAGACAGGUGCCAGCCGCCGCGGUAAUACCUGCGCCACAAAUAGUGAUCACGAUUAUUGGGUCUAAAGCGUCCG
Molecule: ribosomal RNA, 500 nt
Filed under: uncultured archaeon
Lineage: Archaea
Description: bacterial SSU rRNA
Rfam family: Archaeal small subunit ribosomal RNA
Source: RNAcentral